This 339-nucleotide unclassified non-coding RNA is filed under the name soil metagenome. Its description in RNAcentral is "partial contains 5.8S ribosomal RNA, internal transcribed spacer 2, and large subunit ribosomal RNA". The stretch from base 1 to 120 matches the Rfam family "5.8S ribosomal RNA", at positions 35 to 154 of the family's 154-position model. The record is from RNAcentral.
GAUGAAGAACGUAGUGAAAUGCGAUAAGUAAUGUGAAUUGCAGAAUUCAGUGAAUCAUCGAAUCUUUGAACGCACAUUGCACCUCUCGGUAUUCCGGGAGGUAUGCCUGUUCGAGCGUCAUUUGUACCCUCAAGCUCUGCUUGGUGUUGGGUGUUUGUUCCGCCUCUGUGUGUGAACUCGCCUCAAAACAAUUGGCAGCCGGCGUACUUGUUUCGGAGCGCAGCACAUUUUGCGAUCCAGAUCAACGUACAGCGGCAUCCAAGAAGCCUUAUUUAACGCUCUUGACCUCGGAUCAGGUAGGGAUACCCGCUGAACUUAAGCAUAUCAAUAAGCGGAGGA